This 486-nucleotide ribosomal RNA is filed under the name uncultured bacterium. RNAcentral's name for it is "partial 16S ribosomal RNA". It matches the Rfam family "Bacterial small subunit ribosomal RNA", at positions 30 to 507 of the family's 1533-position model. The record is from RNAcentral.
AUUGAACGCUGGCGGCAUGCCUUACACAUGCAAGUCGAACGGCAGCGCGGACUUCGGUCUGGCGGCGAGUGGCGAACGGGUGAGUAAUACAUCGGAACGUACCCUGUUGUGGGGGAUAACUAGUCGAAAGAUUAGCUAAUACCGCAUACGACCUGAGGGUGAAAGUGGGGGACCGGAAACGGCCUCAUGCAGCAGGAGCGGCCGAUGUCUGAUUAGCUAGUUGGUGGGGUAAAGGCCCACCAAGGCGACGAUCAGUAGCUGGUCUGAGAGGACGAUCAGCCACACUGGGACUGAGACACGGCCCAGACUCCUACGGGAGGCAGCAGUGGGGAAUUUUGGGCAAUGGGGGCAACCCUGAUCCAGCAAUGCCGCGUGUGUGAAGAAGGCCUUCGGGCUGUAAAGCACUUUUGUCCGGAAAGAAAUCGCGCUGGUUAAUACCUGGCGUGGAUGACGGUACCGGAAGAAUAAGCACCGGCUAACUACGUG